This 468-nucleotide ribosomal RNA is filed under the name uncultured bacterium. RNAcentral describes it as "partial 16S ribosomal RNA". It matches the Rfam family "Bacterial small subunit ribosomal RNA", at positions 28 to 507 of the family's 1533-position model. The record is from RNAcentral.
GACGAACGCUGGCGGCGGGCUUAACACAUGCAAGUCGAACGGAAAGGCCCUGCUUUUGUGGGGUGCUCGAGUGGCGAACGGGUGAGUAACACGUGAGUAACCUGCCCUUGACUUUGGGAUAACUUCAGGAAACUGGGGCUAAUACCGUAUAGGAGCUCCUGCUGCAUGGUGGGGGUGGGAAAGUUUCGGCGGUUGGGGAUGGACUCGCGGCUUAUCAGCUUGUUGGUGGGGUAGUGGCUUACCAAGGCUUUGACGGGUAGCCGGCCUGAGAGGGUGACCGGCCACAUUGGGACUGAGAUACGGCCCAGACUCCUACGGGAGGCAGCAGUGGGGAAUAUUGCACAAUGGGCGGAAGCCUGAUGCAGAAACGCCGCGUGCGGGAUGACGGCCUUCGGGUUGUAAACAGCUUUCGCCUGUGACGAAGCGUGAGUGACGGUAAUGGGUAAAGAAGCACCGGCUAACUACGUG